AUCACUUCUCGGCCUUUUGGCUAAGAUCAAGUGUGAACUCUGUGGGUCUACUUACAUGUGAACCUUUUUAAAGUAAGUACAGUACAGUACACUGUUAAUGUAUUUUCUCUUCCUUAUGAUUUUCUUAACAUUCUUUU
Ailuropoda melanoleuca (giant panda) is the source of this 137-nucleotide small nuclear RNA. Its record names the gene U2. It matches the Rfam family "U2 spliceosomal RNA". Rfam says of the family: U2 is a small nuclear RNA (snRNA) component of the spliceosome (involved in pre-mRNA splicing). Complementary binding between U2 snRNA (in an area lying towards the 5' end but 3' to hairpin I) and the branchpoint sequence (BPS) of the intron results the bulging out of an unpaired adenosine, on the BPS, which initiates a nucleophilic attack at the intronic 5' splice site, thus starting the first of two transesterification reactions that mediate splicing. Lineage: Eukaryota; Metazoa; Chordata; Mammalia; Carnivora; Ursidae. The record is from Ensembl.